RNAcentral lists this ribosomal RNA (463 nucleotides) under Bacteroidetes bacterium N04ML8. RNAcentral's name for it is "bacterial SSU rRNA". It matches the Rfam family "Bacterial small subunit ribosomal RNA", at positions 152 to 613 of the family's 1533-position model. Lineage: Bacteria; Pseudomonadati; Bacteroidota. The record is from RNAcentral.
GGAAACUUGGAUUAAUGCCCCAUGGUAACAUUGUAUCGCAUGAUAUUUUGUUUAAAGAUUUAUCGGACAGGGAUGGCCAUGCGUACCAUUAGCUAGUUGGUAAGGUAACGGCUUACCAAAGCUACGAUGGUUAGGGGCCCUGAGAGGGGGAUCCCCCACACUGGUACUGAGACACGGACCAGACUCCUACGGGAGGCAGCAGUGAGGAAUAUUGGACAAUGGGCGGGAGCCUGAUCCAGCCAUGCCGCGUGCAGGAUGACUGCCCUAUGGGUUGUAAACUGCUUUUAUACGGGAAGAAACCUACUUACGUGUAAGUAGCUGACGGUACCGUAAGAAUAAGGACCGGCUAACUCCGUGCCAGCAGCCGCGGUAAUACGGAGGGUCCGAGCGUUAUCCGGAAUCAUUGGGUUUAAAGGGUCCGUAGGCGGGCCUAUAAGUCAGGGGUGAAAGGCCACGGCUCAGC